GGGGCUGAGCCAGUUUCGACGGGAUGUCCGCGAUCAUCGUAAGCAGGCGGAGUUGCGAGCCCUCCUAAAACGAUCGCAAGCGUUUUACACGCGAACAACAACUACGCACUGGCUGCCUAACUUAGGUUAGCCACGGUCCUCGAGGGGUCGCCGGUUCCGCCUCGUUCACCGUCAACAACUCCGGCUAGGAUGGGGAAAUCGUCCCGCGAUCCGUCCGAAAUUUAGGGAUUGCCGCCGCCGCGAUUCUGGUUUCGAGAAGCGCGACGGCCUAAGACAAAAUCGAAGCUGAGCCUGGAGAAAGCGCUGGUUAGGCGUUUCGGACUCGGGGGGCGGCACCCCGACAGCUCCACCA
This 352-nucleotide transfer-messenger RNA is filed under the name Vulcanimicrobiaceae. RNAcentral describes it as "Cryoxeromicrobium davisii Standard tmRNA". It matches the Rfam family "transfer-messenger RNA". Rfam says of the family: Bacterial tmRNA, also known as 10Sa RNA or SsrA, is named for its dual tRNA and mRNA-like properties. Its role is to liberate the mRNA from a stalled ribosome. Lineage: Bacteria; Bacillati; Vulcanimicrobiota; Vulcanimicrobiia; Vulcanimicrobiales. RNAcentral also lists the same sequence under 1 other name. The record is from RNAcentral.